GGGGCUGCACUGGUUUCGACGUGGGUGCAGACUCGCAGCAGGGCAUGUCGAGGUGCUGUGACCUCGUAAAACAGCAGCAAACAAGUAACUGCGAACGACGAACGUUUCGCCCUCGCCGCCUGAUCGCGGCGAGCCUUGCACCGGUCGGCCGAUAGGCCGGGCCGUGCGGACCGCAAGGUCUGCCGGCAGCAAGGGCACUCUCAUCGGCUGGCUUCACGGCGGGCAACUUGCCGUGAAGUGAGAUCCAAGGUUGCUGGCCCCAGGCGCAGCGUGCCGCUGCGCGACGCCGGGGGCGAGACCCAAAACAGACGGCUACACAUGUAGAACUGCGCGAGGAAGGCUUGCGGACGGCGGUUCGACUCCGCCCAGCUCCACCA
This 377-nucleotide transfer-messenger RNA is filed under the name Tepidimonas ignava. Its description in RNAcentral is "Standard tmRNA". It matches the Rfam family "transfer-messenger RNA". From Rfam's summary of the family: Bacterial tmRNA, also known as 10Sa RNA or SsrA, is named for its dual tRNA and mRNA-like properties. The record is from RNAcentral. RNAcentral also lists the same sequence under 1 other name. Lineage: Bacteria; Pseudomonadati; Pseudomonadota; Betaproteobacteria; Burkholderiales.